UACGUAGGGUGCAAGCGUUAAUCGGAAUUACUGGGCGUAAAGCGUGCGCAGGCGGUUUUGUAAGUCUGUCGUGAAAUCCCCGGGCUCAACCUGGGAAUUGCGAUGGAGACUGCAAGGCUAGAAUCUGGCAGAGGGGGGUAGAAUUCCACGUGUGAGCAGUGAAAUGCGUAGAGAUGUGGAGGAACACCGAUGGCGAAGGCAGCCCCCUGGGUCAAGAUUGACGCUCAUGCACGAAAGCGUGGGGAGCAAACG
This 252-nucleotide ribosomal RNA is filed under the name uncultured bacterium. Its description in RNAcentral is "partial 16S ribosomal RNA". It matches the Rfam family "Bacterial small subunit ribosomal RNA", at positions 524 to 774 of the family's 1533-position model. The record is from RNAcentral.